UACGUAGGGGGCAAGCGUUAUCCGGAUUUACUGGGUGUAAAGGGAGCGUAGACGGCAUGGCAAGUCAGAUGUGAAAGCCCGGGGCUCAACCCCGGGACUGCAUUUGAAGCUGUCAGGCUGGAGUGCAGGAGAGGUAAGUGGAAUUCCUAGUGUAGCGGUGAAAUGCGUAGAUAUUAGGAGGAACACCAGUGGCGAAGGCGGCUUACUGGACUGUAACUGACGUUGAGGCUCGAAAGCGUGGGGAGCAAACAGG
This 253-nucleotide ribosomal RNA is filed under the name uncultured bacterium. RNAcentral's name for it is "partial 16S ribosomal RNA". It matches the Rfam family "Bacterial small subunit ribosomal RNA", at positions 524 to 776 of the family's 1533-position model. The record is from RNAcentral.